This 468-nucleotide ribosomal RNA is filed under the name uncultured bacterium. RNAcentral describes it as "partial 16S ribosomal RNA". It matches the Rfam family "Bacterial small subunit ribosomal RNA", at positions 28 to 507 of the family's 1533-position model. The record is from RNAcentral.
GACGAACGCUGGCGGCGUGCUUAACACAUGCAAGUCGAACGGAAAGGCCCUGCUUUUGUGGGGUGCUCGAGUGGCGAACGGGUGAGUAACACGUGAGUAACCUGCCCUUGACUUUGGGAUAACUUCAGGAAACUGGGGCUAAUACCGGAUAGGAGCUCCUGCUGCAUGGUGGGGGUUGGAAAGUUUCGGCGGUUGGGGAUGGACUCGCGGCUUACCAGCUUGUUGGUGGGGUAGUGGCUUACCAAGGCUUUGACGGGUAGCCGGCCUGGGAGGGUGACCGGCCACAUUGGGACUGAGAUACGGCCCAGACUCCUACGGGAGGCAGCAGUGGGGAAUAUUGCACAAUGGGCGGAAGCCUGAUGCAGCAACGCCGCGUGCGGGAUGACGGCCUUCGGGUUGUAAACCGCUUUCGCCUGUGACGAAGCGUGAGUGACGGUAAUGGGUAAAGAAGCACCGGCUAACUACGUG